RNAcentral lists this ribosomal RNA (391 nucleotides) under Albinaria spratti. RNAcentral describes it as "partial 16S ribosomal RNA". It matches the Rfam family "Bacterial large subunit ribosomal RNA", at positions 1854 to 2568 of the family's 2925-position model. Lineage: Eukaryota; Metazoa; Mollusca; Gastropoda; Stylommatophora; Clausiliidae. The record is from RNAcentral.
UUAUCUGCCCAGUGAAAUAUUUUAACGGCCGCAGUACCCUGACUGUGCAAAGGUAGCAUAAUCAUUUGACUUUUAAAUGGAGCCUAGAAUGAAUGAAAGAACGUAGAUAACUUGUCUCGGUAGCAUUAUUCUGAAAUUGAUAUAUGAGUGAAAAUACUCAUAAGUUUAAAAAUAGACGAGAAGACCCUUAGAAUUUUAAAAAUAUUGCACGUAAGGUCUUGUAAGAUUUUUUGUUGGGGCAACAAUAUUUCAUAAAAUAAAUAUAUUUAUUGAAGUUAUAGGUCGAUUUAAUAAUUAUAAAAAAAUUACCUAAGGGAUAACAGCAUAAUUUUAAAUAUAAAGUUUGUGACCUCGAUGUUGGACUAGGUACUAUUAAGGCUAAUCGUUUUAA